UAAUACAUGCAAGUCGAACGAACUCUGGUAUUGAUUGGUGCUUGCAUCAUGAUUUACAUUUGAGUGAGUGGCGAACUGGUGAGUAACACGUGGGAAACCUGCCCAGAAGCGGGGGAUAACACCUGGAAACAGAUGCUAAUACCGCAUAACAACUUGGACCGCAUGGUCCGAGUUUGAAAGAUGGCUUCGGCUAUCACUUUUGGAUGGUCCCGCGGCGUAUUAGCUAGAUGGUGAGGUAACGGCUCACCAUGGCAAUGAUACGUAGCCGACCUGAGAGGGUAAUCGGCCACAUUGGGACUGAGACACGGCCCAAACUCCUACGGGAGGCAGCAGUAGGGAAUCUUCCACAAUGGACGAAAGUCUGAUGGAGCAACGCCGCGUGAGUGAAGAAGGGUUUCGGCUCGUAAAACUCUGUUGUUAAAGAAGAACAUAUCUGAGAGUAACUGUUCAGGUAUUGACGGUAUUUAACCAGAAAGCCACGGCUAACUACGUGCCAGCAGCCGCGGUAAUACGUAGGUGGCAAGCGUUGUCCGGAUUUAUUGGGCGUAAAGCGAGCGCAGGCGGUUUUUUAAGUCUGAUGUGAAAGCCUUCGGCUCAACCGAAGAAGUGCAUCGGAAACUGGGAAACUUGAGUGCAGAAGAGGACAGUGGAACUCCAUGUGUAGCGGUGAAAUGCGUAGAUAUAUGGAAGAACACCAGUGGCGAAGGCGGCUGUCUGGUCUGUAACUGACGCUGAGGCUCGAAAGUAUGGGUAGCAAACAGGAUUAGAUACCCUGGUAGUCCAUACCGUAAACGAUGAAUGCUAAGUGUUGGAGGGUUUCCGCCCUUCAGUGCUGCAGCUAACGCAUUAAGCAUUCCGCCUGGGGAGUACGGCCGCAAGGCUGAAACUCAAAGGAAUUGACGGGGGCCCGCACAAGCGGUGGAGCAUGUGGUUUAAUUCGAAGCUACGCGAAGAACCUUACCAGGUCUUGACAUACUAUGCAAAUCUAAGAGAUUAGACGUUCCCUUCGGGGACAUGGAUACAGGUGGUGCAUGGUUGUCGUCAGCUCGUGUCGUGAGAUGUUGGGUUAAGUCCCGCAACGAGCGCAACCCUUAUUAUCAGUUGCCAGCAUUAAGUUGGGCACUCUGGUGAGACUGCCGGUGACAAACCGGAGGAAGGUGGGGAUGACGUCAAAUCAUCAUGCCCCUUAUGACCUGGGCUACACACGUGCUACAAUGGAUGGUACAACGAGUUGCGAACUCGCGAGAGUAAGCUAAUCUCUUAAAGCCAUUCUCAGUUCGGAUUGUAGGCUGCAACUCGCCUACAUGAAGUCGGAAUCGCUAGUAAUCGCGGAUCAGCAUGCCGCGGUGAAUACGUUCCCGGGCCUUGUACACACCGCCCGUCACACCAUGAGAGUUUGUAACACCCAAAGUCGGUGGGGUAACCUUUUAGGAACCAGCCGCCUAA
RNAcentral lists this ribosomal RNA (1446 nucleotides) under Lactiplantibacillus plantarum. RNAcentral describes it as "bacterial SSU rRNA". It matches the Rfam family "Bacterial small subunit ribosomal RNA". Lineage: Bacteria; Bacillati; Bacillota; Bacilli; Lactobacillales; Lactobacillaceae. The record is from RNAcentral.